GCCCAAAAUCUAGCCUAAAAUCAUUAUAUGUCAACACCAUAAAAAAUUAUCUACAUAAAACAUUUUAACUUUCUAGUAGAGGUGAUCAAAAAAUAACUCAGCGCUUAAGAAAUAGUACCGCAAGGGAAAAAUGAAAUAAAAAUGAAAUAAAUUAAAGCCCAUAACAGCAGAGAUCAAAACUCGUACC
This 187-nucleotide ribosomal RNA is filed under the name Beddomixalus bijui. RNAcentral's name for it is "partial 16S ribosomal RNA". The record is from RNAcentral. Lineage: Eukaryota; Metazoa; Chordata; Amphibia; Anura; Rhacophoridae.